GGCUAACGCUGGCAGCGUGUCUUAGCCAUGCAAGUCGUGGGCGAAACCCUGCUUUGGCGGGGGAGUAGACCGGCGGACGGCGGAGUAACACGUGGCUAACCUGCCCUCCGGUGGGGAUAACCCGGAGAAAUCCGGGCUAAUACCGCAUACAGCCUCCUUGGGGCAUCCUGAGGAGGUGAAAGCCGGCCUCUGCUAUGCAAGCUGGCGCCGGAGGAGGGGGCCGCGGCCUAUCAGCUAGUUGGUGGGGUAAUGGCCCACCAAGGCUACGACGGGUAGCCGGUCUGAGAGGACGGCCGGCCCGAGGGGCACUGAGACACGGGCCCCACUCCUACGGGAGGCAGCAGGCUAGAAAUUUGGGCAAUGGGGGAAACCCUGACCCAGCGACGCUGCGUGCGGGAAGAAGGCCUUCGGGUCGUAAACCGCUGUCAGGGAGGACGAUGGGGCUGGCUGCGAACAGCAGUCGGCCUUGACGGUACUCCCAGAGGAAGCCCAGGCUAACCUCGUGCCAGCAGCCGCGGUAAUACGGGGUGGGCGAGCGUUGCCCGGAAUCACUGGGCUUAAAGGGGGCGUAGGCGGCCCGGUAAGUCAGGCGUGUAAUCUGACGGCUCAACCGUCAGACUGCGCUUGAAACUGCCGGGCUAGAGGGCGUCAGAGGAGAGCGGAACUCCCGGUGUAGCGGUGAAAUGCGUAGAUAUCGGGGGGAACGCCGGUGGCGAAGGCGGCUCUCUGGGGCGUCCCUGACGCUCAGGCCCGAAAGCCAGGGGAGCGAAGGGGAUUAGAUACCCCCGUAGUCCUGGCCGUAAACGAUGGGUGCUAGGUGUUGGGUCCUUCGGGACUCAGUGCCGCAGGGAAACCGUUAAGCACCCCGCCUGGGGAGUACGCCCGCAAGGGUGAAACUCAAAGGAAUUGACGGGGGCCCGCACAAGCGGUGGAGCGCGUGGUUCAAUUCGACGCUAAGCGAAGAACCUUACCUGGGCUUGACAUGCCGGUGGUACCGACCCGAAAGGGGAGGGACCCGCCUUCAGGCGGGAGCCGGCACAGGUGCUGCACGGUCGUCGUCAGCUCGUGCCGUGAGGUGUUGGGUUAAGUCCCGCAACGAGCGCAACCCCUGCCCUUAGUUGCCAUCGGCGCUCAUGGAGCGGCCGGGCACUCUAAGGGGACUGCCGGCGAUGAGCCGGAGGAAGGUGAGGACGACGUCAGAUCCGUGUGGCCUUUAUGCCCAGGGCUACACACGCGCUACAAUGGGCGGUACAGAGGGUUGCAACCCCGCGAGGGGGAGCCAAUCCCUAAAACCGCUCCCAGUUCGGAUCGCAGGCUGCAACUCGCCUGCGUGAAGGCGGAAUCGCUAGUAAUCACCUAUCAGCAUGGGGUGGUGAAUACGUUCCCGGGCCUUGUACACACCGCCCGUCACGCCAUGGGAGCCGGGAACGCGAGAAGUCGCUCGCCCAA
Molecule: ribosomal RNA, 1449 nt
Filed under: uncultured bacterium
Lineage: Bacteria
Description: bacterial SSU rRNA
Rfam family: Bacterial small subunit ribosomal RNA
Source: RNAcentral